GUUUUGGAGAAGCACACAACGUAACCCACAUGCUAGAAGCAAGCUACACAAGUGUGACUCUCCCUGGAGUGUGCUGGCUACACUCAGAGCCAAGAAGCUGUCAUUGGUGGGAUUUAGAAGACUUGCUCAUUUCAGUAAUUCUACACAAGUGAUUCUACACAAGCAAAGCCGAUUCAGCACUCUUCAAAAACAACUCCUAGAAAACAAGUGACCAGCAAUAUGAAAAUUCAACUGGUCUGUUCUACAGUCAAGAGUUUGCCAUAGACUGUACACACAAAGCUAAUAAAAAGAGUUGGUAUUCUUUGCUUAGACAUUUCCCACACUGCCAUAUGCCAACAAGCUUAAAGACUGAUUUUGCUGUUUGCUGGGAAGUCUCAGUAAUAUCCUUCCUGUUUUCCUUCCUCCCAGAGACCAGACACUGACCUGCAUGUGUGACAAGCCAAGCUGAGAAAGCAAAGGGAUCUUCUCUUCCAAACAUGUUGCUUCUCCUCUAUAACAUGAUCAUUAAGUGGCAACACACAGCAGAGAAAAGGAGACAAGAGAGACAAAGGAAGAGACAUAGGAAAAUGGGUAGUAAGAAAUCAACCUUCUUCCCACCGUUUCAAAGCUCUUACAGACAACAGAGUUAACAACAGCCUGCUACUGCACCCAUCAAGCAAGAGCUGCCCCUGGGAAGGGGGAAAGGUUUCCCACAACACUGUAUUUUCCCUCCAUCUCAGGAUAAGCUGGAUUAAUAAAUAAGCAUCACAGAGUGAAUCUCUGCCCUGC
RNAcentral lists this long non-coding RNA (768 nucleotides) under Phasianus colchicus (ring-necked pheasant). Its description in RNAcentral is "lncRNA (ENSPCLG00000012380.1)". The record is from RNAcentral. Lineage: Eukaryota; Metazoa; Chordata; Aves; Galliformes; Phasianidae.